GGAGGGUUCGCAUAGUGGUCGAGUGCGCUCGCUUGGAAAGCGAGUAGGGGGAAACCUCUCAUGAGUUCGAAUCUCAUACCCUCCGCCA
Molecule: transfer RNA, 88 nt
Filed under: Minisyncoccota bacterium
Lineage: Bacteria; Bacillati; Minisyncoccota
Description: tRNA-Ser
Rfam family: tRNA
About the family: Transfer RNA (tRNA) molecules are approximately 80 nucleotides in length. Their secondary structure includes four short double-helical elements and three loops (D, anti-codon, and T loops). Further hydrogen bonds mediate the characteristic L-shaped molecular structure. tRNAs have two regions of fundamental functional importance: the anti-codon, which is responsible for specific mRNA codon recognition, and the 3' end, to which the tRNAs corresponding amino acid is attached (by aminoacyl-tRNA synthetases). tRNAs cope with the degeneracy of the genetic code in two manners: having more than one tRNA (with a specific anti-codon) for a particular amino acid; and 'wobble' base-pairing, i.e. permitting non-standard base-pairing at the 3rd anti-codon position.
Source: RNAcentral